CACAGCUUCCGUGCCGUAGCCUAUAUAUCAGAAACUGCCCGCAAUAUGGUGGUCCCAUGUGUCAGGCCAAGCAUAAAUAUUUAAACAUCGGUCCUUUAAUUCCAGUAGUCAUAAAUAUGUCAACAUCAAAGCUGCUACAAGUUUCCUGGCUGGCUUUAGCUUUUCUGUGUGUAGCCUCGGAUAAGAAACACAGCCCCUGGUUGGUACAGAGAGAUGGUCGUCUCGAAUCGAUUGAAGGACAGGUCCACGAAAGGAAUAAGGAGCACGUUACCAACUGGACACUGCAAUCAUAUCACCAGAUAAUGUCCUCUUCCCAUCCGCCACGCAGUACGCAGCUAGCCCCUCUCAGAUUCCAGGCACCGCAAGGAAGCGCCGGGCUGACCGUGAAAUGUGGGGAGACGAAAGUCCAAAUCGUCGUGAAUAAGGAAAGUUUCGGAAGAGGCCUCGAUUUCCCCCCAUCUUCGCUCCGGCUGGGCGAUAACCCUAAAUCGGCGGGCACCUGUGCGCCGGUCCCUGAAGACUCGACAUCCUCGGAAAUUGUCAUAACAGCGGGACUGCAUGAUUGUGAUAGCGAAUAUAAGGUGAGCGGUGAUUGGCUGAUUUACUCCAACAAGCUGGUGUUCGCCCCUCCCCCCACCGUCAUCUCCACGGGAAACCUGAUCAUCAGAGGGGCCCGGAUAUUGCUGCCCAUCGAGUGCCACCGGAGGCGGAGGCAGAGAGGGAGGGGGGAGACCGUGCGUCCCACCUGGAAAUCGUUCACCUCCACAGUCAGAGGGGCGGGGCUUCUGCGUUUCUCUCUGCGUGUCAUGACGGAAGACUGGAGUGGUCCCCGCAAUUCCACUGUCUUCCAGCAGGGGGAGCCUGUGAAUCUGGAGGCAGCUGUGGACGGGCAGUGGCACCCACCUCUGCGGAUUUACGUGGACCGCUGUGUUGCCACCCUCAGCUCGGACCCGCUGUCUGAGCCCAGCUACGACAUCAUCUCUAACCAUGGGUGUCUGACCGACAGCCGGUUUUCCGGCUCCUCCUCCCGGUUCUUCCCACGAGGCCGUCGGAACGCCCUGCGCUUCCGCGUCCGGGGGCCGCUCUCCCUCGGGAAUUCCCCGGGGCAGCAGAUAUUUGUGAACUGUCACUUGCGAGCAGCGUUGGCAGAGAGUCCCUCCGACCCACUGAACAAGGCCUGCUUCUUCCACCCCGACUCUGACAGGUCAGGACCCUGCUUUGGCGAGCGGCGGACGGGGAUGGAGCCGUGUGCCGCUGCUGCGAAACGGGCGACUGCUCCAGCUGGAUGCCAGUCGAGGCGGACGGCAUGCCAGAGACGCCCUUGGCAUCAGAGGGGGUGGUGGACACUGCUGUGGGUCCACUCCACGCGCAGCUGCGAUCUGAUUGGCGGGGCCUCCUGUCAAUCAGUGAUGAGCUCCGCCCCCAUUAGCCCCUCCUGCCUGUUCCAGACCAGUCCUGUGGGAGCUGUGGUUGGCCCAGAGUGGGCGGGCACAAGACCGGCGGCCCUCUGAGACACACUGCUGGUGUGCCCGAGUGUGUGUGUGAGGAACAGCGGCUUGACACUCAUUCACAAGCUGUGUGUGUGUGUGUCUGUGUGUGUGUGUGUCAGUUCAUCCUCAUUCAGCAGGCCUUUCACACACUGGCAUACAAGGCAUGUGUGAAUAUUCAGGGCAGUCCAGGUCUCGACACUGUUGCGAAUUGUUGUGAAUCACUAUGAAGGUGCUCGCUAAGCUAAUAAACAUAAACUCAGUCUUCA
Molecule: RNA transcript, 1756 nt
Organism: Anguilla rostrata (American eel)
Lineage: Eukaryota; Metazoa; Chordata; Actinopteri; Anguilliformes; Anguillidae
Gene name: zona pellucida sperm-binding protein 3-like
Exons: 9
Source: RefSeq, a predicted model, not a curated record